RNAcentral lists this transfer RNA (68 nucleotides) under Elateroidea sp. 8 KM-2017. Its description in RNAcentral is "tRNA-Lys". Lineage: Eukaryota; Metazoa; Arthropoda; Insecta; Coleoptera. The record is from RNAcentral.
AUUAGAGUGACUGAAGUAAGUUAUGGUCUCUUAAACCAAAAAAUAAUAUGUAACAUAUAUUCCUAAUA